CGAACGGUCAGACCUUAGCCCCUUCCUCAUUCCUUUCUUUCCUUUCUCUCUCUUCUCCUUGCUCUCGCUGCCGCACGCCCCCUCGUCCAGCGAAUGGAUCCGGCUGGCUCCAGCAUCGACCGCAACGGAUCGAACUCCCCUUUGUUCUCUUCCAUGCCGUUGCCCCCUCACGCGUCUCCCGGCGCCACUGUCGCUUGAGCACGGGGAUCCACCGAGAUCGGCGGUGUAGCCAUGGCCGGCAGCUGGCUACACAGAAGGGACCACUGACGGUCCCCAAGCCGAAGGGUUGGCGUCCACAGAAUCCCUGUCACCUCACUAGCGUUCUUUGUCCUAGCAGCACCCACCAUCACCUAUGCAGAACUUGACGUCAACAUCAAUAGCGCACAGGAGGUGUUCGAUGGAAUGGCCCUGAGUGAUGCAUGUGUCUAUGUUAUAAAUGGCGAAUCACGAUGUCUAAAACAAGCUAGAUCAUUAAUGUAUUCAGGAACACAAAUCACCGUUGCCUGGAAUGCUCUGGUGCGAGCAGACUCUAGUGAUGCAUCUGUUAGAACUUCAUCAUUAGUUACUUUGUGUCCAUCUAAUUCUAGUACCUGUGUGACUAUCCGACAAGGCUAGCUAAUGGACAUUGGCCGUAACAAAGAGACGUCCACUGGCAUGGAAGAGAAGGUGUUGAAGUUGGUUGUGAUGGGCUUUCUAGAGGAUCCGAUGAGCAGUGCCCUGAAGACUGUAUAAUUUCUCGAUGCUGUGAAAAUUAUAAAUAUUGUGAGCAUUCAGAAAAGUUCAGCUGUCUUGAAUUCUGCACUCUGAAUGUUCUGAAACUUCAGAACGCCAGCAGCUCCUAUGGCCAAUCUGCCCCGCGCCACCAAGUUGCUUGCGGCUCAACCUGCACGGCAGAUGGCGAUGGUGGUUAUGCAGGUGGCAUUUUACGACAGAUUACCCAUUAUUUUUUACCCUGUAGUGCCGGUAGGUAGCCUGUCUUUCUGUUUUUGUCGGAUGUUGGUUCCUGAUAGUCUUCCAUGCUGGCAGAUUAUUUUCUUAACUGGGGUUAGUAUUUUCAUUUCAGCACUAUCUUUGUUUGAGAACUCAUUGUACUAUGAAUUUUUGUUGGUGUAGUAUGUCUGAUAUUAUGUGUUGAUACCAUGAUUAUUGUAACAAUGACUACAUACCAAUGUUUGCUUAAAUUUUAGCUAACACGUGUGUUCUUUGUCUA
Molecule: long non-coding RNA, 1210 nt
Organism: Sorghum bicolor (sorghum)
Lineage: Eukaryota; Viridiplantae; Streptophyta; Magnoliopsida; Poales; Poaceae
Exons: 3
Source: RefSeq, a predicted model, not a curated record